UGGGGAAUAUUGCACAAUGGGCGCAAGCCUGAUGCAGCCAUGCCGCGUGUAUGAAGAGGGCCUUCGGGUUGUAAAGUACUUUCAGCGGGGAGGAAGGUGUUGAGGCUAAUAACCUCAGCAAUUGACGUUACCCGCAGAAGAAGCACCGGCUAACUCCGUGCCAGCAGCCGCGGUAAUACGGAGGGUGCAAGCGUUAAUCGGAAUUACUGGGCGUAAAGCGCACGCAGGCGGUCUGUCAAGUCGGAUGUGAAAUCCCCGGGCUCAACCUGGGAACUGCAUUCGAAACUGGCAGGCUAGAGUCUUGUAGAGGGGGGUAGAAUUCCAGGUGUAGCGGUGAAAUGCGUAGAGAUCUGGAGGAAUACCGGUGGCGAAGGCGGCCCCCUGGACAAAGACUGACGCUCAGGUGCGAAAGCGUGGGGAGCAAACA
This 427-nucleotide ribosomal RNA is filed under the name uncultured bacterium. RNAcentral describes it as "partial 16S ribosomal RNA". It matches the Rfam family "Bacterial small subunit ribosomal RNA", at positions 355 to 774 of the family's 1533-position model. The record is from RNAcentral.